AACGAAGUUACACAGAGGAAGUUUUCGGAUGGAAUCAGUAUAACUUAGUGGCGGACGGGUGAGUAACGCGUGGGAAACCUGCCCUGUACCGGGGGAUAACACUUAGAAAUAGGUGCUAAUACCGCAUAAGCGCACGGAACCGCAUGGUUCCGUGUGAAAAACUCCGGUGGUGUGAGAUGGAUCCGCGUCUGAUUAGCCAGUUGGCGGGGUAACGGCCUACCAAAGCGACGAUCAGUAGCCGGCCUGAGAGGGUGAACGGCCACAUUGGGACUGAGACACGGCCCAAACUCC
Molecule: ribosomal RNA, 291 nt
Filed under: uncultured Lachnospiraceae bacterium
Lineage: Bacteria; Bacillati; Bacillota; Clostridia; Lachnospirales; Lachnospiraceae
Description: partial 16S ribosomal RNA
Rfam family: Bacterial small subunit ribosomal RNA
Source: RNAcentral